RNAcentral lists this transfer RNA (62 nucleotides) under Cis micans. RNAcentral's name for it is "tRNA-Arg". The record is from RNAcentral. Lineage: Eukaryota; Metazoa; Arthropoda; Insecta; Coleoptera; Ciidae.
AAAUAAGAAGCAAUAAAUGCAUUUAGUUUCGACCUAAAAAUAAGAUUUAAUAUCCUUAUUUA